AUUGAACGCUGGCGGAAUGCUUUACACAUGCAAGUCGAACGGCAGCACGGACUUCGGUCUGGUGGCGAGUGGCGAACGGGUGAGUAAUGUAUCGGAACGUGCCCAGUCGUGGGGGAUAACGUAGUGAAAAUUACGCUAAUACCGCAUACGAUCUAUGGAUGAAAGCGGGGGAUCGCAAGACCUCGCGCGAUUGGAGCGGCCGAUAUCAGAUUAGGUAGUUGGUGGGGUAAAGGACCACCAAGCCAACGAUCUGUAGCUGGUCUGAGAGGACGACCAGCCAACCUGGAACUGAGCAACGGUCCAGACUCCUACGGGAGGCAGCAGUGGGGAAUUUUGGACAAUGGGCGAAAGCCUGAUCCAGCCAUUCCGCGUGCAGGAUGAAGGCCCUCGGGUUGUAAACUGCUUUUGUACAGAACGAAAAGGUUUCUACUAAUACUAGGAGCUCAUGACGGUACUGUAAGAAUAAGCACCGGCUAACUACGUGCCAGCCGCCGCAGUAA
This 500-nucleotide ribosomal RNA is filed under the name uncultured bacterium. RNAcentral's name for it is "partial 16S ribosomal RNA". It matches the Rfam family "Bacterial small subunit ribosomal RNA", at positions 30 to 523 of the family's 1533-position model. The record is from RNAcentral.